This 484-nucleotide ribosomal RNA is filed under the name uncultured bacterium. RNAcentral describes it as "partial 16S ribosomal RNA". It matches the Rfam family "Bacterial small subunit ribosomal RNA", at positions 28 to 507 of the family's 1533-position model. The record is from RNAcentral.
AUUGAACGCUGGCGGCAUGCUUUACACAUGCUAGUCGAACGGCAGCGCGGGCUUCGGCCUGGCGGCGAGUGGCGAACGGGUGAGUAAUGCAUCGGAACGUGCCCAGUAGUGGGGGAUAGCCCGGCGAAAGCCGGAUUAAUACCGCAUACGACCUGAGGGUGAAAGCGGGGGACCGAAAGGCCUCGCGCUAUUGGAGCGGCCGAUGUCGGAUUAGCUAGUUGGUGGGGUAAAGGCUUACCAAGGCGACGAUCCGUAGCUGGUCUGAGAGGACGACCAGCCACACUGGGACUGAGACACGGCCCAGACUCCUACGGGAGGCAGCAGUGGGGAAUUUUGGACAAUGGGGGCAACCCUGAUCCAGCCAUGCCGCGUGCGGGAAGAAGGCCUUCGGGUUGUAAACCGCUUUUGUUCGGGAAGAAAUCCUCUGGGCUAAUACCCCGGGGGGAUGACGGUACCGGAAGAAUAAGCACCGGCUAACUACGUG